CUUCCCCUGAGGACAUCUGGCUUGUGCCCUCAACAUCCUCCCAGAAAAUUUGAUGACCACUCCGAGCUUUCCGGGCUGCCAUGCCACAGAAGAAGCUGAGGUCGACGCAGAUCUGCUUCCUGGCGCUCACC
Molecule: long non-coding RNA, 131 nt
Filed under: Chinchilla lanigera (long-tailed chinchilla)
Lineage: Eukaryota; Metazoa; Chordata; Mammalia; Rodentia; Chinchillidae
Description: lncRNA (ENSCLAG00000028866.1)
Source: RNAcentral